GAUGAACGCUGGCGGCGUGCCUAAUACAUGCAAGUCGAGCGAACAGACGAGGAGCUUGCUCCUCUGACGUUAGCGGCGGACGGGUGAGUAACACGUGGAUAACCUACCUAUAAGACUGGGAUAACUUCGGGAAACCGGAGCUAAUACCGGAUGAUAUAUUGAACCGCAUGGUUCAAUAGUGAAAGACGGUUUUGCUGUCACUUAUAGAUGGAUCCGCGCCGCAUUAGAUAGUUGGUAAGGUAACGGCUUACCAAGGCAACGAUGCGUAGCCGACCUGAGAGGGUGAUAGGCCACACGGGAACUGAGACACGGUCCAGACUCCUACGGGAGGCAGCAGUAGGGAAUCUUCCGCAAUGGGCGAAAGCCUUACGGAGCAACGCCGCGUGAGUGAUGAAGGUCUUCGGAUCGUAAAACUCUGUUAUUAGGGAAGAACAAAUGUGUAAGUAACUAUGCACGUCUUGACGGUACCUAAUCAGAAAGCCACGGCUAACUACGUG
RNAcentral lists this ribosomal RNA (497 nucleotides) under uncultured bacterium. RNAcentral's name for it is "partial 16S ribosomal RNA". It matches the Rfam family "Bacterial small subunit ribosomal RNA", at positions 28 to 507 of the family's 1533-position model. The record is from RNAcentral.